RNAcentral lists this ribosomal RNA (460 nucleotides) under uncultured bacterium. RNAcentral's name for it is "partial 16S ribosomal RNA". It matches the Rfam family "Bacterial small subunit ribosomal RNA", at positions 338 to 795 of the family's 1533-position model. The record is from RNAcentral.
CCUACGGGAGGCAGCAGUGAGGAAUAUUGGUCAAUGGGAGGAAUCCUGAACCAGCCAUGCCGCGUGCAGGAUGACGGCUCUACGAGUUGUAAACUGCUUUUGUACCGGGGUCAAAUGCUCUACGUGUAUGGUUUUGAAAGUACGGUACGAAUAAGGAUCGGCUAACUCCGUGCCAGCAGCCGCGGUAAUACGGAGGAUCCGAGCGUUAUCCGGAUUUAUUGGGUUUAAAGGGUGCGUAGGUGGUUUUAUAAGUUAGCGGUGAAAUACCGAUGCUCAACAUCGGGGGUGCCGCUGAUACUGUAGGACUAGAGAGCGGAUGCAGCAGGCGGAAUGUGUAGUGUAGCGGUGAAAUGCAUAGAUAUUACACAGAACACCGAUUGCGAAGGCAGCUUGCUAGGCCGGAUCUGACACUGAUGCACGAAAGCGUGGGGAUCGAACAGGAUUAGAUACCCGGGUAGUC